GACGAACGCUGGCGGCGUGCCUAAUACAUGCAAGUAGAACGCACAGUUUAUACCGUAGCUUGCUACACCAUAGACUGUGAGUUGCGAACGGGUGAGUAACGCGUAGGUAACCUGCCUGGUAGCGGGGGAUAACUAUUGGAAACGAUAGCUAAUACCGCAUAAUAUUAAUUAUUGCAUGAUAAUUAAUUGAAAGGUGCAAUUGCACCACUACCAGAUGGACCUGCGUUGUAUUAGCUAGUAGGUGAGGUAACGGCUCACCUAGGCGACGAUACAUAGCCGACCGGAGAGGGUGAGCGGCCACACUGGGACUGAGACACGGCCCAGACUCCUACGGAAGGCAGCAGUAGGGAAUCUUCGGCAAUGGACGAAAGUCUGACCGAGCAACGCCGCGGGAGUGAAGAAGGUUUUCGGAUCGUAAAGCUCUGUUGUAAGAGAAGAACGGGUGUGAGAGUGGAAAGUUCACACUGUGACGGUAUCUUACCAGAAAGGGACGGCUAACUACGUG
Molecule: ribosomal RNA, 505 nt
Filed under: uncultured bacterium
Lineage: Bacteria
Description: partial 16S ribosomal RNA
Rfam family: Bacterial small subunit ribosomal RNA
Source: RNAcentral